RNAcentral lists this ribosomal RNA (372 nucleotides) under uncultured cyanobacterium. RNAcentral describes it as "bacterial SSU rRNA". It matches the Rfam family "Bacterial small subunit ribosomal RNA", at positions 377 to 763 of the family's 1533-position model. The record is from RNAcentral. Lineage: Bacteria; Bacillati; Cyanobacteriota.
GAAAGCCUGACGGAGCAAGACCGCGUGGGGGAAGAAGGCUCUUGGGUUGUAAACCCCUUUUCUCUGGGAAGAACGCAAUGACGGUACCAGAGGAAUCAGCAUCGGCUAACUCCGUGCCAGCAGCCGCGGUAAGACGGAGGAUGCAAGCGUUAUCCGGAAUGAUUGGGCGUAAAGCGUCCGCAGGUGGCAGUUCAAGUCUGCUGUCAAAGACCGGGGCUUAACCUCGGAAAGGCAGUGGAAACUGAACAGCUAGAGUAUGGUAGGGGCAAAGGGAAUUCCUGGUGUAGCGGUGAAAUGCGUAGAGAUCAGGAAGAACAUCGGUGGCGAAGGCGCUUUGCUGGACCAUAACUGACACUCAGGGACGAAAGCUAG